GUUCAUGGCCAUACCACCCUGAAUGUUCCUGAUCUUGGAAGGUAAGCAAGGUCAGGCCUGGUUAGUACUUGGAUGGGAGAAAAGACUUAGUUAUAAUGAACA
RNAcentral lists this ribosomal RNA (102 nucleotides) under Octodon degus (degu). The record is from RNAcentral. Lineage: Eukaryota; Metazoa; Chordata; Mammalia; Rodentia; Octodontidae.